Molecule: ribosomal RNA, 795 nt
Filed under: uncultured archaeon
Lineage: Archaea
Description: bacterial SSU rRNA
Rfam family: Archaeal small subunit ribosomal RNA
Source: RNAcentral
ACGGCUCAGUAACACGUGGAUAACCUACCCAAUAGUCUGGGAUAACCCCGGGAAACUGGGGACAAUACCGGAUGGAUCAUCUUUGCUGGAAGGCUUGGUGGUUGAAACUCUUCGGGGGCUGUUGGAUGGGUCUGCGGCUGAUUAGGUUGUUGCCGGUGUAAUGUACCGUCAAGCCUGUAAUCAGUACGGGUUGUGGGAGCAAGAGCCCGGAGAUGGAUUCUGAGACACGAAUCCAGGCCCUACGGGGCGCAGCAGGCGCGAAAACUCUACAAUGCAGGCAACUGCGAUAGGGGAACAUCGAGUGAUCCUCAUAUUGGGGGUCUGUCCACCCGCCUAAAAAGCGGGUGUUAGCAAGGGCCGGGCAAGACCGGUGCCAGCCGCCGCGGUAAUACCGGCGGCUCGAGUGGUGGCCGAUAUUAUUGAGUCUAAAGGGUCCGUAGCCGGCUUUGCAAGUCUCUCGGGAAAUCCAGCGGCUUAACCGUUGGUCGUCCGGGGGGUACUACAUUGCUUGGGACUGGGAGAGGCGAGAGGUACUCAGGGGGUAGGAGUGAAAUCCUGUAAUCCUCUGGGGACCACCGGUGGCGAAGGCGUCUCGCCAGAACAGGUCCGACGGUGAGGGACGAAAGCUAGGGGCACGAACCGGAUUAGAUACCCGGGUAGUCCUAGCCGUAAACGAUGCUCGCUAGGUGUCACAACAGUCGUGAACUGUUGUGGUGCCGUAGGGAAGCCGUGAAGCGAGCCACUUGGGAAGUACGACCGCAAGGUUGAAACUUAAAGGAAUUGGCGGGGGAGCAC